RNAcentral lists this non-coding RNA (24 nucleotides) under Arabidopsis thaliana (thale cress). Lineage: Eukaryota; Viridiplantae; Streptophyta; Magnoliopsida; Brassicales; Brassicaceae. The record is from RNAcentral.
GCCAUGAAAUAUUCCGAGAAUUAC